GCAGCAGUUGCCGCGGCGUACUCAUCCCACCCACUUCUGCGCCCACUAUGGCCGCGCCCACUGCGGCCCCGCCCUCCUCUCCCACUGCGCAAGCGCCACGCGCAGGCGCAAAAGGAACUCGCAGGCCAGUGCUGCUGGUGCCGGAGUCCGGAAGCUGACGGCGGUGCGUGGAAAUCGUCGCGGAGUUCAGUGUUUUGCUUUUGGGGAUCACAAACUCAGGGGCACACUGGCCCGGCGGGCGCAUCCAGCCGUUGGCGUAUGUGUGGGCAGAAAAUGCAGACGAGAAAGUGGGUGGCGCUUGGCUAAUGCGGGCUGGAGCCCUUGACUUGGAGUGCCCAGUCCAGCGCCGCGGUCCUACAGAGGCCCCUGGGAUCUGAGCUGGCGAGGGUGGCGCGGCGGGUCCUACCCAAGGCCAGAAAGUUCGCUGCGGUCCCAGCUCUUUUGGGCAGCCUCUCUGAGGUAGAGCUCUCAGACGGUCUUCAGCCCGGUGGAACGCCCUGGUGUCCCACUCCACCCGUUCAUCCCGACUUCCUGGGCCGUCUCUAGAGCCCAGUUGGUAGUUGGGCCCAGUUGGCAUAUGUUUCAGAUGAAAAAUUCAUUACGGACUUGAGAUGCUAGGUUGGAGACAAAUCUCAUGUCAGUGGCAGAGAAAGAAUUCGAAGCUGUGCUUUCAUUGAGGGGAAGGGCCAGAAGACCCAGCUCUAGGUUUUUCUGACAAGCACAAGUUUUGGGGAAGUCCCUGUGCUUCACUAGCCUCAGUUUUCUUCCUAUAAUGGGGGUAGGGCUUUUCCUACCUACCUCAUUCACUUUGUGUAGAGUUAAAAGUAAUACACAUUUUGCCAAUAAUGUAUUCACUGCUUGAACCAAAAACUACCCUAAUGUGUUGUAGAACAACUUUGGCAUGUAUGAAGGCCUUGUAAAUGUUGAUGAUGAUGAUGCUUAGAAAUGCCUCUCAGCAUUUUGACGUAGCCUGCCUCCCAACCUACUGUAUUCCCAGGAGAUACCACCCCCAUCUUUAUUAUAACAGAGGCAUCCUGAAAUGAAAUGAGAGAGGAAGAAUAUCACUGAACUGGUGGACUUCUUGAAACCCCCGGCAAAAAGCCUUUUUUCAAUGACGUAGGGAGCAAUGGAUUAAUCAGUUCACAAAUUGUUAUGUUUGGUUGGGAUGAUGUGUCAUGGCCCUAUGUCAGAGCGCUACUCACCACACGUUUGUGGAACCCAGGGAGUUAAAAAACAACCUAUGGCGACUGAGGUGUGGAGCUGGGGAAGGAGCCUAUGUACGUAUGUGGCAAGUGUGACUGCAAAGAUAGGGAAGUGCUUAAACACAGGCUUGCAGAGUGAAAGCUUCCUUGUGGAUUUGUGUUUUCUUAUGAUUGAUUGAUUGAAACAAGUUCUCCCUCAGUUGCCUAGGCUGGAUUGCAGCGGUGCGAUCAGGACUCAUUGCAUCCUCAACCUCCCCGACUCAAGCAGUCCUCCCACCUCAGCCUCCUGAGUAGCAAGGCUACAGGUGUGUGCCACCACGUCUGGUAAUUUUUUCUACUUUUUUUGUGUAGAGACGAGCUCUUGCUAUGUUGCUUAGACUGGUCUUGAACUCCUGGUCUCAAGUGAUCCUCCCACCUUGGCCUCCCAAAGUGCUGGGAUUACAGGCGUGAGGCACCAUGCCUGACCCAUUUGUUUUCUUUGACUUGUGUUAGAGCAUCCUAGUCUAAAGAAAAAGUGGCCACACAAUGUUCUUUAUGUGGACUUCUGCAGGAAUGGUCCUCUCACCCAGUCACCCAGUCCUGGCAAUUUGCUGCCAUUUUUUUUGGUCAUUUUUCCUGGCUAAGUCUAGUUCCAGCUCCAGAGAUUAGAAUAUGAAAGGAUUAACCCCCCAAAAUGGGAUGGAGGGAUGAAUGAGUUGAAAGUUUUUGUUUCCCUUUUCCAAACACUGAGUUGGCUCUCAUCAGCACAGCUGUCUCUGGGGAUGUAUAAAGCGUAAUUAAUACAUUUUAAAUGUUUGGUUUCAACUUUUUUUGCUAGUGAGAUAAGAUAAGGAGUUUUUGUCAUGACAAGGGAAGGGGUGGAUUUCUUUCUAUCAUUUGCAGGAGUGGGUACCACUUGGAUCCUGUAGGUAGACAGUUGCAUGAGAUGAUAAACUUUAUAGGGGGCAUGGAAGAAAGCCAGUGGAGAUGGGGAAGGAAUGGCUAGACUCUUUAGCUUCCUGACAACCAGAGGGGGAAAAUGAACUUCCAGAGAAUUUGGGUUUUGCCUUAAAUAUUGAAAUUUGCUUGGGCAUUUGGUCCACUUCUUAAUUAACCUGGGUCCAGAACUGAAUGUCUUUGCAGUCGGAGCUCAGAAUUGCUUUGGUAUCUCACAGUACACAUAGCAUUUCCCUGUUGGUGUACGGUAGGCCAAGGACCAGAGCAUGUGUUGUGCUGUAGCCAAAAGGAAUAGUCUCCAUGACCUUAUCGUUGGAGAGAUCAUUGGACACUGAAAUAGUUGAGCAUGGACACUCUAAGAUGGGUGGAAAUACUAGAAGAGUUAUUAUUAGCAGAGGGAUCUAUGUAUCCAUAAGAUCCAUAUUUUUAAUUAUAAUGUUCAUAUCUUCUAUAUUCUUUUUAAUAAAUGGUGCUGGGAAAACUGGCUAGCCAUAUGUAGAAAGCUGAAACUGGAUCCCUUCCUUACACCUUAUACAAAAAUUAAUUCAAGAUGGAUUAAAGACUUAAACGUUAGACCUAAAACCAUAAAAACCCUAGAAGAAAACCUAGGCAUUACCAUUCAGGACAUAGGCAUGGGCAAGGACUUCAUGUCUAAAACACCAAAAGCAAUGGCAACAAAAGCCAAAAUUGACAAAUGGAAUCUAAUUAAACUAAAGAGCUUCUGCACAGCAAAAGAAACUACCAUCAGAGUGAACAGGCAACCUACAAAAUGGGAGAAAAUUUUCGCAACCUACUCAUCUGACAAAGGACUAAUAUCCAGAAUCUUUAAUGUCUUGAUUUCUUUACCUGUUAAUUCCUAACUGACACUUUAGUGUGUAUUAAAAACUC
RNAcentral lists this long non-coding RNA (3026 nucleotides) under Homo sapiens (human). RNAcentral describes it as "non-protein coding LINC01376:1". Lineage: Eukaryota; Metazoa; Chordata; Mammalia; Primates; Hominidae. The record is from RNAcentral.